AAGGACCCGGCUUCUCGAUACAUCUAGCGUUUCUUGGCUUAUAGUUUCUCAGGCAGGCGAGAUAGCUCGGACAUUUUGUCUAAGUCAGAGUUUUUCUUUAUUUGGUGCAUGCAUAAUAAUAUAAAAGUUAAUUUGGGGUGCUGGCUAGCUUCUCAAUUCAAGUCUGUUUUGACUAAAAAGAAGCGCCCCUUGAUUCUUGGAUCAUACAUUACCCACUUGGCUAUUAAUUUGCAUGUGCUUGAUCUCUCUAACCAUGAUUUGCAUGUAGCAUGUCAAAUGGAGCCCUUAGACAUCCCUUGUUUACAGAAAAUGGGCUUGGCUAGGGAGGGUGACAACGGGUGGGAGGUUCCACCACCGGGACCGUCUUGUAUUCCCCCUCGUUCAUCUUGUGCCCGUUCCUCCACUGCUAGCGGUGACCCCGGCCCUUCGACCUCCGCUCCACCUCCUCCAACCCCAAGGGCUGAUGACUGGCACCAACUCCAGAUGCGAGUUCAGAAACUGGAGGCUCAGGUAACCAAUAUUGAUGCGAAUGUGCAUAAUAUGGCGCAGAAUUUGGCAGCGUUUAUGCACCAUGUGGGUGUUGAACCUCAAUUUGCACCUAACCCACCGCUGUUUUGACGACUUAAGGGGAGUUUCGUUGCCCUUUUUCUUAUUUUUACUGUUUAAUUGUCACAUUGAGGGCAAUGUGUGCUUUAAGUGUGGGGGGAGAUUUGAAUUUGACUGGUGUUUCUUUAAUUUGCUGCUUAUCUUACUGUUGUCUUGAUGAACAAAUAUGGCAACUCACUCUUCUAUUGCUAGUUGUGAUUUAUUUUAUGAAUUUAGUUUAGGUGGUAAGUAAAAGCAUGUUAUCUUGGUGAAUAUCAUGAGUUUAAUGACUUGGUGCAAAUUGUGGUUAACUUGUUUAGGCAAUAUAAAUAUUUUACUAGCAAUUAUUGUGUGAAUUGGGCGAUUGUUGAUCUCAGUUCUCCAUGUUAGGAGAUGACGUAGGCUAUGAUCUUUAAUUAUCUGAUAUUUUGGUGCUUUAAUUGUGAUUAAUAAAGGACUCUACUCCGCUAGUGUCGUCACCCAGUAACUGGGAGUUUUCACCACAAGUGUCGACUUUCGCGUCAAAAAGUGGCGAUAUCUAUGAGUAGUUAGUCCUGAAACUGUGAAAAGUUGAGUAACUGGGCUCUUUCAUCUAAAAAUGUCAGAGUUCACGUCAAAAGACUUGAAUAGCUUGGGACUGAGCAUUUAUCGAAAAUAAAUAAAUAAAUAAAAAUAAAAGAUUUCUCAAAAAAAAAAAGAAAAAAAAAUGUGUAAGCUUAUGAUCAUGUUGGCCUGCCGAUCCUUGUUCUUCAAUGUUGAGAUUUUGGUUGUCAGUUGACCCAAUUGCUAACUUUUGCUAGUUUAAUAUUUUGAUUUCCUAGAUGAGUUAGCCAUGAAUUGGACGAGUUUAUGAUUUCAGGAGCUAACCGGGAGAAAUAUGUCUUGACACUUAGCUACUAAAACUUGAUUUUGGGAUAAACGCAGCUUGGCAAUAAAUGAAAUGAGAGUUAGCCAUUGUUGAAUUUAGUUGUUCUCAUGCUUGAGGACAAGCAUGAUUUAAGUGUAGGGGGGAUUGAUAGGGUGUUAAUUAUUAGUAAUUUUAUUGUUAAUUCUCCUCUUUAUCCUUGCCAAAUAUUGCUUUAAUUGUCAAUAUAUAUUUAUAUUUGGCAUUUGGAUAUAAUUUCAGAAAGUGGAGCAGAAAAGUGCUAAAAAAGGGAACCUUCUUGAGAAAAUUUCUCCACACUUGAAAGCUUCUAAAAGCUUUACACAAUUGGUCCAGUGAAGACCAACGUCCAUUCCUUUGCUGAUGAAGAAGAAUUGAAUUUCAUAUCUCAAUUCAGCGGGGACCACGUAUGGAUUGAUUUAGAAAGUUUGUCCUGCUUUUGGAAGAUAUAUUCAUUGGCCAUGAUGGACAUGUGAUAAUUGGAUGUAACUUUCCAAUUGCUUCCUACAUAGCUAGUCCCUUAAGAGACUAGUGCUCCAAUAAAAUAAGAAGGCACGAGAUUAGUGGGCUCAUGGAAAAAAAGCUAUGAAGACUAAAUGCUUGCAUUUAUAUUAGACUAGUUUUCUCUCCAAGGGGGGAAAUUGGACGAGUGCAGAAGACAUUAGACUAGUUUAGACUAGUUUAGUUUUCUCUCCAAAGAAGCUCCGUAGGAGAAUAGGUAGUCUUUAGUUUUCUUUUGUUGUGUGGUAUGUAAUUUUUCUUCAAAGAGUCUACGGAGAUUCGAAGUUUUAUUCUAAAUUAUUAGCGAGUGUUUAUGUCUUUGAAUUCAAUUAAAUUGCGUGAAGAUUUUCUUAUGAGGCGUGGCUAAUUUUCUCCUCUAGUCAAGGAUCAACGCGAAGACGCAGUCCCAAAUAUCUGUAAGAUCUAAUUAAUUUUCAUGUGUUUCUUAAUUUAUUAAUAUUUGCAUGUUUUCUAUUUAAAUUUUCAU
This 2456-nucleotide long non-coding RNA is filed under the name Coffea arabica (coffee). RNAcentral's name for it is "long non-coding RNA (CARA_LNC003130)". The record is from RNAcentral. Lineage: Eukaryota; Viridiplantae; Streptophyta; Magnoliopsida; Gentianales; Rubiaceae.